AGUUUGAUCCUGGCUCAGGAUGAACGCUAGCUACAGGCUUAACACAUGCAAGUCGAGGGGCAGCAUCAUCAAAGCUUGCUUUGAUGGAUGGCGACCGGCGCACGGGUGAGUAACACGUAUCCAACCUGCCGACAACACUGGGAUAGCCUUUCGAAAGAAAGAUUAAUACCGGAUGGCAUAGUUUUCCCGCAUGGGAUAAUUAUUAAAGAAUUUCGGUUGUCGAUGGGGAUGCGUUCCAUUAGGCAGUUGGCGGGGUAACGGCCCACCAAACCUACGAUGGAUAGGGGUUCUGAGAGGAAGGUCCCCCACAUUGGAACUGAGACACGGUCCAAACUCCUACGGGAGGCAGCAGUGAGGAAUAUUGGUCAAUGGACGAGAGUCUGAACCAGCCAAGUAGCGUGAAGGAUGACUGCCCUAUGGGUUGUAAACUUCUUUUAUACGGGAAUAAAGUGAGCCACGUGUGGCUUUUUGUAUGUACCGUAUGAAUAAGGAUCGGCUAACUCCGUGCCAGCAGCCGCGGUAAUACGGAGGAUCCGAGCGUUAUCCGGAUUUAUUGGGUUUAAAGGGAGCGUAGGCGGGUUGUUAAGUCAGUUGUGAAAGUUUGCGGCUCAACCGUAAAAUUGCAGUUGAUACUGGCGACCUUGAGUGCAACAGAGGUAGGCGGAAUUCGUGGUGUAGCGGUGAAAUGCUUAGAUAUCACGAAGAACUCCGAUUGCGAAGGCAGCUUACUGGAUUGUAACUGACGCUGAUGCUCGAAAG
Molecule: ribosomal RNA, 759 nt
Filed under: uncultured Bacteroides sp.
Lineage: Bacteria; Pseudomonadati; Bacteroidota; Bacteroidia; Bacteroidales; Bacteroidaceae
Description: bacterial SSU rRNA
Rfam family: Bacterial small subunit ribosomal RNA
Source: RNAcentral